ACACGUAGGAGGCAAACGUUAUCCGGAUUUACUGGGCGUAAAGCGCGUGUAGGUGGUAUAGUAAGUAGGGCGUGAAAGCUCCUGGCUCAACUGGGAGAGGCCGUUCUAAACUGCUAUACUCGAGUUUGGUAGAGGAAGAUGGAAUUCCAGGUGUAGCGGUAAAAUGCGCAGAUAUCUGGAGGAACACCAGUGGCGAAAGCGGUCUUCUGGACCAAUACUGACACUCAGACGACGAAAGCGUAGGGUAGAC
This 250-nucleotide ribosomal RNA is filed under the name uncultured bacterium. Its description in RNAcentral is "partial 16S ribosomal RNA". It matches the Rfam family "Bacterial small subunit ribosomal RNA", at positions 523 to 771 of the family's 1533-position model. The record is from RNAcentral.